GCUUCCCUUUUGAAGCCUGAUGAUGCUGUUGAUGGAAGAGGAAUUGGUCCAGAUGGCUAUGUAAAAAUCAAAUGCAUAGCAACUGGUACGCGCAGCCAAAGUCAAGUAAUCAAA
Rhodamnia argentea is the source of this 114-nucleotide long non-coding RNA. RefSeq lists it as uncharacterized. The record is from RefSeq and is a predicted model, not a curated record. The transcript is spliced from 3 exons. NCBI's taxonomy places the organism in Eukaryota, Viridiplantae, Streptophyta, Magnoliopsida, Myrtales, Myrtaceae.